AGAGCGAACGCUGGCGGCAGGCCUAAUACAUGCAAGUCGAACGAGCCCUUCGGGGCUAGUGGCGGACGGGCGAGUAACACGUGGGAACGUGCCUUUUGGUUCGGAACAACUCAGGGAAACUUGAGCUAAUACCGAAUGUGCCCUUCGGGGGAAAGAUUUAUCGCCAUUAGAGCGGCCCGCGUCUGAUUAGCUAGUUGGUGAGGUAAAGGCCCACCAAGGCUACGAUCAGUAGCUGGUCUGAGAGGAUGAUCAGCCACACUGGGACUGAGACACGGCCCAGACUCCUACGGGAGGCAGCAGUAGGGAAUCUUGCGCAAUGGGCGAAAGCCUGACGCAGCCAUGCCGCGUGAAUGAUGAAGGUCUUAGGAUUGUAAAAUUCUUUCAGCGGGACGAUAAUGACGGUACCGCAGAAGAAGCCCGGCUAACUCGCGCCAGCAGCCGC
Molecule: ribosomal RNA, 442 nt
Filed under: uncultured bacterium
Lineage: Bacteria
Description: SSU rRNA
Rfam family: Bacterial small subunit ribosomal RNA
Source: RNAcentral